Long non-coding RNA from Myotis myotis, 1489 nucleotides. RefSeq lists it as uncharacterized. The record is from RefSeq and is a predicted model, not a curated record. Lineage: Eukaryota; Metazoa; Chordata; Mammalia; Chiroptera; Vespertilionidae. The transcript has 4 exons.
UCCGAGCGGGACAAUGGUUCCUGUUCUCUUGGGCAGGGCAGUGCCUGCCACUACCCCCCAUUAAACAACGUGGGCAAGUUCAGGGGUCUCAUGGAAGAUACUGAAGUCUGUGAAGUCAUUAGUCUGCCCAUCGCCUGAAAGUUCUUUGAUGGGCUAAUCAUUUACUUAACGUUUGUCCUUGGGAGCUUUUGACCGUGGCCCCUCAGAGGGAAGCCCUGUGCACACCAUUUGGGACCCUAAUCUCCACCCCCAGCCACAGAAUGUCAUCUUGGUGUGCCUGGCUGUUGGUCUAUUUUCUUUCAUCCUGCUGGACAUUUGUUGAAUCCAUUUAUUAUGAGGAUUUUUUAAUCUUUUCUGAAAGUCUUUUUCUUUCUUGUUAAUCUGAAUUGGAGAUGAGAAAGAGGUUUUCGCAUAUUUUCAGUUGUGGUCCUGGUCUGAUCUCCUCCUGGUCUGUUGUAAAGCAUAUUAGCCCGGUGGAAAUGAAGUCCAUCAGUAUAUCUACCAAGUAAUAUCUAUCCCUAUCUCCGAAUUCAAGAGGAAAUGUAUACUGAGUUUUGGAAAAUCUACCUGAAUAAACACUUGGGAAACUGAGAAAGGAAAAGACCUUGUAUUUCAGUUGAGAAGUUUUCAAAAUGGAAGAGCCAACGGAUUUGAACAUGUUGUCAGAGUACAAGGGGACCCAUGAGAGAAGGCGGGAGACACGGAGCCGGAUGGGCAGUGCGGGGCCAACCAGUCCAAGAACCUUCUCUUCGGUUCAUUGCUUUGAUGUGGAGUGAAGGGAAUUUCAACCUGCCUCACAAAGCCCUGAGAUAAUGGCUAUAAAUUCCUUAGCAUUUACUUUCCACCAAUCAUUUGAGAUGGUUCUUAAACCUCCACACCUUUCUCGUAUCCCUUCCAGGGUCCUCCCUGCUCAGGGCUGGCCUGGGGGCCAAUGUCAGACCGCAGACCGAGGGGGAGAGCCCGAAGCUCCAGCUCAGGGGGACCUGGAGUCAGGUGUUGCCCUCUUAGGGGCCUGGGCAGGUGGCAGGCAACUCACGCAGGUGACUUCCUGCCUGAGCUUCUGAGUUCCAAAGUAGUGAGCAUGUGCCAGGCUCAUGGCCGUCCAUCACCCUUUGGGGGGCCUUUCUGUAGUAGGGGAGCCCCUCACAAUGAGCUGUUACCGCCCAGCAGAGACGUCGGCUCAGGCUCAGGGCCCCUUUGCCGCAGGGAUGCAGGGAUGGACCCAGAAUCUACCCGCCAGAGGCGUCGGCAUGAGUCUGCCGCUCAGACGUGAGGAGCAUGGGAAAGUAUCCGCCUGCAUUUUGGUGGCCCUGGUGGCCACAGCAGCACUCCCUCCGGGGCUCAGGUGGAGCUGGUUUCCUUAUCUGGCCAGAUCUGUGGUUUGAAAUGGGGCUUUGUUUAUAGACAGUGAGGUCUGUUCUCCAGCCCUCCUUCCCCCGCCCCCCUCCGGCUACUUUUGUGCUCCCCACUAUCUCUGAAAUAAACUCCU